GAUCCUGGCUCAGGAUGAACGCUAGCUACAGGCUUAACACAUGCAAGUCACGGGGCAGCAUAGGGUUUCAGCAAUGAAAUUCGGAUGGCGACCGGCGCACGGGUGAGUAACACGUAUCCAACCUGCCCUUUACUCGGGGAUAGCCUUGCGAAAGUAAGAUUAAUACCCGAUGGCAUUGGAUUCCCGCAUGGGGCUUCAAUUAAAGGUGCAAACUGGUAAAGGAUGGGGAUGCGUUCCAUUAGG
This 243-nucleotide ribosomal RNA is filed under the name uncultured bacterium. RNAcentral describes it as "partial 16S ribosomal RNA". It matches the Rfam family "Bacterial small subunit ribosomal RNA", at positions 15 to 245 of the family's 1533-position model. The record is from RNAcentral.